This 254-nucleotide ribosomal RNA is filed under the name uncultured bacterium. RNAcentral's name for it is "partial 16S ribosomal RNA". It matches the Rfam family "Bacterial small subunit ribosomal RNA", at positions 524 to 776 of the family's 1533-position model. The record is from RNAcentral.
UACGAGGGGGGCAAGCGUUGUUCGGAAUUACUGGGCGUAAAGCGUGCGCAGGCGGUCUGUUAAGACCGAUGUGAAAUCCCCGGGCUUAACCUGGGAACUGCAUUGGUGACUGGCAGGCUUUGAGUGUGGCAGAGGGAGGUAGAAUUCCACGUGUAGCAGUGAAAUGCGUAGAGAUGUGGAGGAAUACCGAUGGCGAAGGCAGCCUCCUGGGCCAACACUGACGCUCAUGCACGAAAGCGUGGGGAGCAAACAGG